This 262-nucleotide unclassified non-coding RNA is filed under the name Hevea brasiliensis (rubber tree). Lineage: Eukaryota; Viridiplantae; Streptophyta; Magnoliopsida; Malpighiales; Euphorbiaceae. The record is from RNAcentral.
UUGCAAGCCAAGAGGAGCUAGAGUUGCUACUUGGUAAAACAAGCCUAGACUCCAUUGAUUUUUUCUUCUUCUAUGAUGCUAUCACAAAGGCAAAUAUUAAUAAAGGUAGCAAUUAUAAGCACGAGGAUCGAGAAAAUGUUUUCUUGGAAAAUGACCUACGUAAAGUGUUUAGAGUAUUCGAUUUAAACGAGGACGGAUUCAUAUGUUGUGAGGAGCUGCAAAGAGCAUUGUCAAGAUUAGGAUUGUGGGAUGAACAAUGUGG